RNAcentral lists this microRNA precursor (109 nucleotides) under Myotis brandtii (Brandt's bat). Its description in RNAcentral is "mir-9193 microRNA precursor family". It matches the Rfam family "mir-9193 microRNA precursor family". Lineage: Eukaryota; Metazoa; Chordata; Mammalia; Chiroptera; Vespertilionidae. The record is from Rfam by way of RNAcentral.
CAUGCACCUGUGGGGUCCCUCGGCCUGGCCUGUGGACCCCUUGGGGGAUGUCAGAGAGCCAGGUUCACCCGAUCCCGCAGGCCAGGCCGAGGGACCCCACUGGUGCACA